GAGAAAGUAAGCAAGGGCAGACGGUGGAUGCCUUGGCUCUCGGAGGCGACGAAGGACGUGAUAAGCUGCGAAAAGCCCGGGGGAGGC
This 87-nucleotide ribosomal RNA is filed under the name Salmonella enterica subsp. enterica. RNAcentral describes it as "partial 23S ribosomal RNA". It matches the Rfam family "Bacterial large subunit ribosomal RNA", at positions 1 to 87 of the family's 2925-position model. The record is from RNAcentral. Lineage: Bacteria; Pseudomonadati; Pseudomonadota; Gammaproteobacteria; Enterobacterales; Enterobacteriaceae.